Molecule: ribosomal RNA, 3735 nt
Filed under: Triticum aestivum (bread wheat)
Lineage: Eukaryota; Viridiplantae; Streptophyta; Magnoliopsida; Poales; Poaceae
Description: partial small subunit ribosomal RNA
Source: RNAcentral
AUGGAGGUGGGUGAGAUGGACGACGUGCAGGCGGUGGGAGAGCAGGUCAUCAGCAGCAGGGGCGGCUCCGUGCUCGGGAAGAAGACCAUCCUCAAGAGUGACCACUUCCCCGGCUGCCAGAACAAGCGCCUCACCCCGCACAUCGACGGCGCGCCCANNNNNNNNNNUGCAGGAUCACUGCGUGUUCACGGUGUUGCAAUGCCGACAAUGGAAGGAAUUGUGAAUGUGCUAAAUCACAUUGGGGCACAAAAGAAGGGAAAGCAAACCCGAGUUCUAUGGCAUAGUCUUCGGGAGGAACCAGUUAUCUAUAUCAAUGGUCGCCCUUUUGUUCUACGAGAUGCCGAAAGACCCUUCUCAAACCUUGAAUAUACGGGAAUCAACCGGGAGAGAGUCGAGCAGAUGGAGUUUCGUUUGAAAGAAGAUAUUCUUCAGGAAGCUUCAAGAUAUGGGAAUAAGAUCCUAGUUACUGAUGAGCUGCCGAAUGGUCAGAUGGUGGACCAGUGGGAGUCAGUGAUGUCUGAUACAGUUAAGACUCCACUUGAGGUCUAUGAGGAGUUACAACAUCAAGGAUACCUUGUUGAUUACGAGCGUGUUCCUAUAACUGAUGAAAAAGCUCCGAAGGAAGGGGAUUUUGAUAACCUGGUACAUCGAAUCUCUCAAGUUGAUAUGGAGACUGAAAUUGUAUUUAAUUGUCAAAUGGGGAGGGGACGGACUACUACCGGCAUGGUCAUAUCUACGUUGGUUUACCUAAAUCGGAUAGGAGCUUCAGGUAUCCCAAGGACAAGUUCAAUUGGGAAGGUUUUCUAUGCUGGAAAUGAUGUAGAUGACUACAGUCCUAGCUCAGAAGAAGCAAUUCUCAGAGGAGAAUAUGCUGUCAUUAGGAGCUUAGUCCGAGUUCUGGAGGGUGGUGUUGAAGGCAAAAGACAGGUGGACAAAGUUAUUGACAAAUGUGACUCUAUGCAGAACCUGAGAGAAGCUAUUGCAACCUACCGCAAUAGCACUCUUCGGCAACCUGAUGAGAUGAAACGGGAGGCAUCACUUUCCUUCUUUGUGGAGUACUUGGAACGUUAUUACUUCCUCAUAUGUUUUGCUGUCUAUGUACAUUCGGUGAGCUCUGCUCACCAAGCAACAUCUUCAGGAGUUAAUUUUUCUGAUUGGAUGAGAGCAAGACCUGAACUGUACAGCAUUCUUCGAAGGCUGCUGAGGAGAGAUCCAAUGGGCGCUCUGGGUUAUUCAAGCUCAAAACCCACUCUUCCAAAAAUUAUUGAAUCUGCUGAUGGGCGCCCACAUGAGAUGGAUGUUGUUGCUGCCAUGAGGAAUGGAGAAGUUCUUGGACGUCAAACUGUUUUAAAAAGUGAUCACUGUCCAGGGUGUCACAAUCUUAAUUUGCCUGAAAGAGUUGAGGGUGCACCUAAUUUCCGGGAAAUUCCGGGGUUUUCAGUCUAUGGUGUUGCAAAUCCUACUGUUGAUGGCAUUCGGGCUGUUAUUCAGCGAGUUAGUACAAGCAAGGGAAAUCGGCCGAUACUCUGGCAUAAUAUGAGAGAAGAGCCCGUCAUUUAUAUACAUGGAAAGCCUUUUGUGCUACGAGAAGUAGAAAGACCGUACAAGAAUAUGCUGGAGUACACGGGGAUCGGUCGUGAUAGAGUUGAGCGUAUGGAAGCUCGGUUGAAGGAGGAUAUUUUACGAGAAGCAGAACGGUAUGAUGGGGCAAUAAUGGUUAUUCAUGAAACCGACAAUGGUGAGAUCUUUGAUGCAUGGGAAAAUGUCAAUAAUGAAGCUGUUCUGACUCCACUGGAGGUAUACAAAUGUUUGGACUCUGAAGGCCUUCCAAUCAAAUAUGCACGAGUGCCCAUUACCGAUGGUAAGGCCCCCAAAAGUUCAGAUUUUGAUACGGUAGCCUUUAAUGUCGCAGCUGCUUGCAAGGAUGCUGCUCUUGUAUUCAACUGCCAGAUGGGCAGGGGCAGAACAACUACUGGCACUGUGAUUGCUUGCCUGCUCAGACUUCGAAUCAAUCACGGCAGACCUAUUGGAAUGCCAGCCAUCCAAAAUAAUCAUGAAGAUACAAUUGAUGCCGAUUACUCAAGCGGAGAAGAAACAAUGGACCACAAUGGUCACUUGAAUUCAGAAUCAUGGAAACCUCACACUUUGACAGAGCUACACCCUAGAUUUGACAUUAAUGACAUCCUUCUGUUGCGAAAGAUUACAAGGCUAUUUGACAAUGGGAUUGAGUGUAGACAGAUUUUAGAUACUGUUAUUGACAAGUGUUCAGCUUUGCAGAACAUCCGCCAAGCUGUUUUGCAAUACACAAAGGUGAUUAGUCAACAAAAUAUGGAGCCAAGAGUUAGGAGAGUCGCAUUAAAUCGUGGUGCUGAAUAUUUGGAGAGGUACCUGAAAUUAAUUGCAUUCUCGGCAUACCUCGGGAGUGAAGCAUUUGAUGGUUUCUGCGGGCAAGGAGAAACAAAGAUCUCAUUUAAAAAUUGGCUGCAACAGCGUCCGGAGAUCCAAACCAUGAAAUGGAGCAUAAGACUGCGACCUGGGCGUUUUUUCACUGUACCUGAUGAGCAUAAAGCAACAUGUCAACCUCUGCAAAGUGAUGUAACGAUGGAAGCCAUCGUGAAAGCCCGUAAUGGUUCUGUUCUGGGAAAGGGAUCCAUACUCAAAAUGUAUUUUUUUCCUGGGCAGAGAAGGUCAAGCAGCAUGAACUUCCGUGGUACACCACAUGUUAUCAAGGUGGAUGGAUACCCUGUGUAUAGCAUGGCAACACCAACUGUUGAUGGAGCUAGAGAAGUUCUGUCGUAUUUGGGCUGUAAGGAUACAACUGGAAGAGACAUUAUUCAGAAGGUGGUCAUCACGGAUCUUAGGGAGGAAGUGGUAGUUUACAUCAAGGGAACACCGUUUGUUUUGAGAGAAUUAGAUCAACCUGUUGAUACACUGAAGCAUGUGGGCAUAAGUGGCCCAAUGGUAGAGAACAUAGAGGCAAGGCUGAAGGAGGAUAUACUUUCUGAAGUUAAACAGCUAGAAGGUCGGCUGCUUCUGCAUCAAGAAGAAUUUAACACAGCCACAAAUCAAUGCAGUGUAUUAGGUUAUUGGGAGCACAUAGAUCUGGAGGACGUAAUGACACCGGCUGAAGUGUACAGCACAUUGAGGGAUCAGGGGUAUUGUAUUGACUACAAAAGGAUACCUCUGACCAGGGAAAGAGAAGCAUUAGCUGCUGAUGUUGAUUCAAUACAGUCAUCAAUCAAUGAAUCUUCUAGGUACUAUCUCUUUAUUUCACACACGGGAUAUGGUGGUGUUGCUUAUGCAAUGGCCAUUACAUGCCUGAGACUUGGUGCAGAUGCAAAGUUUGUCAUGGAACAAACAGCAGAAACACACUUCGUAUCAAGUUCUCUUACAAAAAGUGUAUCUGUGAAAACCUUCACUGACAUAGCCCUCAGGCAGGGGGACUACCGUGACAUACUAAACCUUACUAGAGCACUGAUACAUGGUCCUAAAAGCAAAGAAGAGGUUGACAAAGUUAUUGACAGAUGUGUUGGUGCUGGGGAUUUGCGGGAGGAUAUUUUGCAAUACAGGAAGGCAUUGCGAGAUUGUUCACAUGAUGAUGAUGAUGAUGAGGCACGGUCAUAUCUCAUGGAUAUGGGGACUAAAGCUUUGAGUACUAAAGCACUUACAGCAGUCAUCAAGCAGAGGACAAGGAAGAUCAGUGCCAAGAAGAAAGCAGAGGAAAUGAGCGGGUGA